This 30-nucleotide non-coding RNA is filed under the name Mus musculus (house mouse). Lineage: Eukaryota; Metazoa; Chordata; Mammalia; Rodentia; Muridae. The record is from RNAcentral.
UAGCUCAAUGGACUCCAAGCCUGUAUGCUC